Paramuricea clavata is the source of this 228-nucleotide non-coding RNA. NCBI's taxonomy places the organism in Eukaryota, Metazoa, Cnidaria, Anthozoa, Malacalcyonacea, Plexauridae. The record is from the annotation of a GenBank genome assembly.
CUGUCAAAUGUCUUCUUAGCGCUGGCGAAAUUCCCGUUCGCUGCCAGCCUGAAACAAGAUAGGUGGGGUUAUCGUAUCCGAAUAAGAUGUAUAGUUCUUAACAUUGAUUGUCAGGACUGUGAUUUUGUGAGAAGUGAGAACAGAUGACCAAUACUCAAAGAUAACAUAGCACUCCAAUACUCGUAUCCACAGACUGAAUGGAUUUUGUUGCAUGUCCAUAUAUGGGCA